Molecule: long non-coding RNA, 294 nt
Organism: Homo sapiens (human)
Lineage: Eukaryota; Metazoa; Chordata; Mammalia; Primates; Hominidae
Exons: 3
Source: RefSeq, a predicted model, not a curated record
GCCAUUCAUUUACUCCCCUCAGUAUCCACCUGAAAGGAAGAAGCUGAGACACAGAGUACAAUCUAAAGAGUUUACUUGAGCCAAAGUGAGUGGUGAGCCCUCUUGGGAAUGUUGGCAGGAGAAGAUGACUCCACACAUGGGCUGAACUGCAAAUGGAGUGCAUCAGAUGACCACCACCUCCCUAGAGCAGAUCACCCGUGGGCCAGCAGAAGCCCCAGACCUCAGCCAUCUUGGAGGAAUUAUGAGGUGUAUGAGAUCCAGAGUUCCGUCAGUCUCUCCCCAGCCACAGGCCGU